This 400-nucleotide ribosomal RNA is filed under the name uncultured bacterium. RNAcentral describes it as "partial 16S ribosomal RNA". It matches the Rfam family "Archaeal small subunit ribosomal RNA", at positions 473 to 873 of the family's 1478-position model. The record is from RNAcentral.
CUACCCGCGCCCCAAGUGGUGGUCGAUAUUAUUGAGCCUAAAACGUCCGUAGCCGGUCUUCUAAAUCCUUGGGUAAAUCGGGCAGCUUAACUGUCCGAAGUCCGGGGAGACUGGGAGACUUGGGACCGGGAGAGGUCAGAGGUACUUCUGGGGUAGGGGUAAAAUCCUGUAAUCCUGGAAGGACCACCGGUGGCGAAGGCGUCUGACUAGAACGGAUCCGACGGUGAGGGACGAAGCCCUGGGGCGCAAACGGGAUUAGAUACCCCGGUAGUCCAGGGUGUAAACGCUGCGGGCUUGGUGUUGGGGGUCCUUAGUGGGCGCCCAGUGCCGGAGAGAAGUUGUUAAGCCUGCUGCUUGGGGAGUAUGUCCGCAAGGAUGAAACUUAAAUGAAUUGGCGGGG